UACGAAGGGGCUAGCGUUGCUCGGAAUCACUGGGCGUAAAGCGCACGUAGGCGGACUUUUAAGUCAGGGUGAAAUCCUGGAGCUCAACUCCAGAACUGCCUUUGAUACUGGAAGUCUUGAGUCCGGAAGAGGUAAGUGGAACUGCGAGUGUAGAGGUGAAAUUCGUAGAUAUUCGCAAGAACACCAGUGGCGAAGGCGGCUUACUGGUCCGGUACUGACGCUGAGGUGCGAAAGCGUGGGGAGCAAACAGGG
This 252-nucleotide ribosomal RNA is filed under the name uncultured bacterium. Its description in RNAcentral is "partial 16S ribosomal RNA". It matches the Rfam family "Bacterial small subunit ribosomal RNA", at positions 524 to 777 of the family's 1533-position model. The record is from RNAcentral.